This is a non-coding RNA of Schistosoma rodhaini, 45 nucleotides long. The record is from Rfam. Lineage: Eukaryota; Metazoa; Platyhelminthes; Trematoda; Strigeidida; Schistosomatidae.
AUCCAGCUGACAAGUCGCGAAUAGGACGAAACGCGCAUCUUGGAU